CCUACGGGUGGCAGCAGUGAGGAAUAUUGGUCAAUGGGCGCGAGCCUGAACCAGCCAAGUAGCGUGAAGGAUGACUGCCCUACGGGUUGUAAGCUUCUUUUAUAAAGGAAUAGAGUGAGGCACGUGUGCCUGUUUGUAUGUACUUUAUGAAUAAGGAUCGGCGAACUCCGUUCCAGCAGCCCCGGUAAUACGGAGGAUCCGAGCGUUAUCCGGAUUUGUUGGGUUUAAAGGGAGCGUAGAUGGGUUGUUAAGUCAGUUGUGAAAGUUUGCGGCUCAACCGUAAAAUUGCAAUUGAUACUGGCAGGCUUGAGUACAGUAGAGGUAGGCAGAAUUCGUGGUGUAGCGGUGAAAUGCUUAGAUAUCACGAAGAACUCCGAUUGCGAAGGCAGCUUACUAAACUGCCACUGACAUUGAUGCUCGAAAGUGUGGGUAUCAAACAGGAUUAGAUACCCGAGUAGUC
This 460-nucleotide ribosomal RNA is filed under the name uncultured bacterium. RNAcentral's name for it is "partial 16S ribosomal RNA". It matches the Rfam family "Bacterial small subunit ribosomal RNA", at positions 338 to 795 of the family's 1533-position model. The record is from RNAcentral.